This 544-nucleotide ribosomal RNA is filed under the name uncultured bacterium. RNAcentral describes it as "bacterial SSU rRNA". It matches the Rfam family "Bacterial small subunit ribosomal RNA", at positions 777 to 1320 of the family's 1533-position model. The record is from RNAcentral.
AAUAGAUACCCUGGUAGUCCACCCCGUAAACGUUGGGAACUAGUUGUGGGGUCCUUUCCACGGAUUCCGUGACGCAGCUAACGCAUUAAGUUCCCCGCCUGGGGAGUACGGCCGCAAGGCUAAAACUCAAAGGAAUUGACGGGGACCCGCACAAGCGGCGGAGCAUGCGGAUUAAUUCGAUGCAACGCGAAGAACCUUACCAAGGCUUGACAUACACCAGAACACCCUAGAAAUGGGGGACUCUUUGGACACUGGUGAACAGGUGGUGCAUGGUUGUCGUCAGCUCGUGUCGUGAGAUGUUGGGUUAAGUCCCGCAACGAGCGCAACCCUCGUCCUAUGUUGCCAGCACGUAAUGGUGGGAACUCAUGGGAUACUGCCGGGGUCAACUCGGAGGAAGGUGGGGAUGACGUCAAAUCAUCAUGCCCCUUAUGUCUUGGGCUUCACGCAUGCUACAAUGGCCGGUACAAAGGGCUGCAAUACCGUGAGGUGGAGCGAAUCCCAAAAAGCCGGUCCAGUUCGGAUUGAGGUCUGCAACUCGACCUCA